This 489-nucleotide ribosomal RNA is filed under the name uncultured bacterium. Its description in RNAcentral is "partial 16S ribosomal RNA". It matches the Rfam family "Bacterial small subunit ribosomal RNA", at positions 30 to 507 of the family's 1533-position model. The record is from RNAcentral.
AUUGAACGCUGGCGGCAGGCCUAACACAUGCGAGUCGAACGGUAACAGGAAGCAGCUUGCUGCUUUGCUGACGAGUGGCGGACGGGUGAGUAAUGUCUGGGAAACUGCCCGAUGGAGGGGGAUAACUACUGGAAACGGUAGCUAAUACCGCAUAACGUCGCAAGACCAAAGAGGGGGACCUUAGGGCCUCUUGCAUUGGAGGUGGCCCGAUGGGAUUAGCUAGUAGGUGGGGUAAAGGCUUACCUAGGCGACGAUCCCUAGCUGGUCUGAGAGGAUGACCAGCCACACUGGAACUGAGACACGGUCCAGACUCCUACGGGAGGCAGCAGUGGGGAAUAUUGCACAAUGGGCGCAAGCCUGAUGCAGCCAUGCCGCGUGUAUGAAGAAGGCCUUCGGGUUGUAAAGUACUUUCAGCGGGGAGGAAGGGAGUAAAGUUAAUACCUUUGCUCAUUGACGUUACCCGCAGAAGAAGCACCGGCUAACUCCGUG